AGGCUGAGCUUGGGCUCCUUUGGGCAUCCCCUCCAAGAAAAGAAUAGUGAGCCGUGGCUGCACACAGCAGCCUCCUUGGGAGUACAUGUACCCUGUUGCCAACAUGGUUGUCCAAGGGAACCUUGGAAACAAUU
Mastomys coucha (southern multimammate mouse) is the source of this 134-nucleotide small nucleolar RNA. RefSeq annotates it as small nucleolar RNA SNORA70. The record is from RefSeq and is a predicted model, not a curated record. The transcript has a single exon. Lineage: Eukaryota; Metazoa; Chordata; Mammalia; Rodentia; Muridae.